UACGUAGGGGGCAAGCGUUAUCCGGAUUUACUGGGUGUAAAGGGAGCGUAGACGGCGCGGCAAGUCUGAAGUGAAAGGCAGGGGCUUAACCCCUGAACUGCUUUGGAAACUGCCAUGCUAGAGUGCUGGAGAGGUAAGUGGAAUUCCUAGUGUAGCGGUAAAAUGCGUAAAUAUAUGUAAGAACACCGGUGGCGAAGGCGGCUUGCUGGGCCUGUACUGACAUUGAGGCACGAAAGCGUGGGGAGCAAACAGG
RNAcentral lists this ribosomal RNA (253 nucleotides) under uncultured Lachnospiraceae bacterium. Its description in RNAcentral is "partial 16S ribosomal RNA". It matches the Rfam family "Bacterial small subunit ribosomal RNA", at positions 524 to 776 of the family's 1533-position model. The record is from RNAcentral. Lineage: Bacteria; Bacillati; Bacillota; Clostridia; Lachnospirales; Lachnospiraceae.